This 2241-nucleotide ribosomal RNA is filed under the name Staphylococcus aureus. RNAcentral's name for it is "partial 23S ribosomal RNA". It matches the Rfam family "Bacterial large subunit ribosomal RNA", at positions 1 to 2240 of the family's 2925-position model. The record is from RNAcentral. Lineage: Bacteria; Bacillati; Bacillota; Bacilli; Caryophanales; Staphylococcaceae.
GAUUAAGUUAUUAAGGGCGCACGGUGGAUGCCUUGGCACUAGAAGCCGAUGAAGGACGUUACUAACGACGAUAUGCUUUGGGGAGCUGUAAGUAAGCUUUGAUCCAGAGAUUUCCGAAUGGGGAAACCCAGCAUGAGUUAUGUCAUGUUAUCGAUAUGUGAAUACAUAGCAUAUCAGAAGGCACACCCGGAGAACUGAAACAUCUUAGUACCCGGAGGAAGAGAAAGAAAAUUCGAUUCCCUUAGUAGCGGCGAGCGAAACGGGAAGAGCCCAAACCAACAAGCUUGCUUGUUGGGGUUGUAGGACACUCUAUACGGAGUUACAAAGGACGACAUUAGACGAAUCAUCUGGAAAGAUGAAUCAAAGAAGGUAAUAAUCCUGUAGUCGAAAAUGUUGUCUCUCUUGAGUGGAUCCUGAGUACGACGGAGCACGUGAAAUUCCGUCGGAAUCUGGGAGGACCAUCUCCUAAGGCUAAAUACUCUCUAGUGACCGAUAGUGAACCAGUACCGUGAGGGAAAGGUGAAAAGCACCCCGGAAGGGGAGUGAAAUAGAACCUGAAACCGUGUGCUUACAAGUAGUCAGAGCCCGUUAAUGGGUGAUGGCGUGCCUUUUGUAGAAUGAACCGGCGAGUUACGAUUUGAUGCAAGGUUAAGCAGUAAAUGUGGAGCCGUAGCGAAAGCGAGUCUGAAUAGGGCGUUUAGUAUUUGGUCGUAGACCCGAAACCAGGUGAUCUACCCUUGGUCAGGUUGAAGUUCAGGUAACACUGAAUGGAGGACCGAACCGACUUACGUUGAAAAGUGAGCGGAUGAACUGAGGGUAGCGGAGAAAUUCCAAUCGAACCUGGAGAUAGCUGGUUCUCUCCGAAAUAGCUUUAGGGCUAGCCUCAAGUGAUGAUUAUUGGAGGUAGAGCACUGUUUGGACGAGGGGCCCCUCUCGGGUUACCGAAUUCAGACAAACUCCGAAUGCCAAUUAAUUUAACUUGGGAGUCAGAACAUGGGUGAUAAGGUCCGUGUUCGAAAGGGAAACAGCCCAGACCACCAGCUAAGGUCCCAAAAUAUAUGUUAAGUGGAAAAGGAUGUGGCGUUGCCCAGACAACUAGGAUGUUGGCUUAGAAGCAGCCAUCAUUUAAAGAGUGCGUAAUAGCUCACUAGUCGAGUGACACUGCGCCGAAAAUGUACCGGGGCUAAACAUAUUACCGAAGCUGUGGAUUGUCCUUUGGACAAUGGUAGGAGAGCGUUCUAAGGGCGUUGAAGCAUGAUCGUAAGGACAUGUGGAGCGCUUAGAAGUGAGAAUGCCGGUGUGAGUAGCGAAAGACGGGUGAGAAUCCCGUCCACCGAUUGACUAAGGUUUCCAGAGGAAGGCUCGUCCGCUCUGGGUUAGUCGGGUCCUAAGCUGAGGCCGACAGGCGUAGGCGAUGGAUAACAGGUUGAUAUUCCUGUACCACCUAUAAUCGUUUUAAUCGAUGGGGGGACGCAGUAGGAUAGGCGAAGCGUGCGAUUGGAUUGCACGUCUAAGCAGUAAGGCUGAGUAUUAGGCAAAUCCGGUACUCGUUAAGGCUGAGCUGUGAUGGGGAGAAGACAUUGUGUCUUCGAGUCGUUGAUUUCACACUGCCGAGAAAAGCCUCUAGAUAGAAAAUAGGUGCCCGUACCGCAAACCGACACAGGUAGUCAAGAUGAGAAUUCUAAGGUGAGCGAGCGAACUCUCGUUAAGGAACUCGGCAAAAUGACCCCGUAACUUCGGGAGAAGGGGUGCUCUUUAGGGUUAACGCCCAGAAGAGCCGCAGUGAAUAGGCCCAAGCGACUGUUUAUCAAAAACACAGGUCUCUGCUAAACCGUAAGGUGAUGUAUAGGGGCUGACGCCUGCCCGGUGCUGGAAGGUUAAGAGGAGUGGUUAGCUUCUGCGAAGCUACGAAUCGAAGCCCCAGUAAACGGCGGCCGUAACUAUAACGGUCCUAAGGUAGCGAAAUUCCUUGUCGGGUAAGUUCCGACCCGCACGAAAGGCGUAACGAUUUGGGCACUGUCUCAACGAGAGACUCGGUGAAAUCAUAGUACCUGUGAAGAUGCAGGUUACCCGCGACAGGACGGAAAGACCCCGUGGAGCUUUACUGUAGCCUGAUAUUGAAAUUCGGCACAGCUUGUACAGGAUAGGUAGGAGCCUUUGAAACGUGAGCGCUAGCUUACGUGGAGGCGCUGGUGGGAUACUACCCUAGCUGUGUUGGCUUUCUAACCCGCACCACUUAUC